GGGUUGUGAGGUUAAGCGACUAAGCGUACACGGUGGAUGCCCUGGCAGUCAGAGGCGAUGAAGGACGUGCUAAUCUGCGAUAAGCGUCGGUAAGGUGAUAUGAACCGUUAUAACCGGCGAUUUCCGAAUGGGGAAACCCAGUGUGUUUCGACACACUAUCAUUAACUGAAUCCAUAGGUUAAUGAGGCGAACCGGGGGAACUGAAACAUCUAAGUACCCCGAGGAAAAGAAAUCAACCGAGAUUCCCCCAGUAGCGGCGAGCGAACGGGGAGCAGCCCAGAGCCUGAAUCAGUGUGUGUGUUAGUGGAAGCGUCUGGAAAGGCGCGCGAUACAGGGUGACAGCCCCGUACACAAAAAUGCACAUGCUGUGAGCUCGAUGAGUAGGGCGGGACACGUGGUAUCCUGUCUGAAUAUGGGGGGACCAUCCUCCAAGGCUAAAUACUCCUGACUGACCGAUAGUGAACCAGUACCGUGAGGGAAAGGCGAAAAGAACCCCGGCGAGGGGAGUGAAAAAGAACCUGAAACCGUGUACGUACAAGCAGUGGGAGCACGCUUAGGCGUGUGACUGCGUACCUUUUGUAUAAUGGGUCAGCGACUUAUAUUCUGUAGCAAGGUUAACCGAAUAGGGGAGCCGAAGGGAAACCGAGUCUUAACUGGGCGUUAAGUUGCAGGGUAUAGACCCGAAACCCGGUGAUCUAGCCAUGGGCAGGUUGAAGGUUGGGUAACACUAACUGGAGGACCGAACCGACUAAUGUUGAAAAAUUAGCGGAUGACUUGUGGCUGGGGGUGAAAGGCCAAUCAAACCGGGAGAUAGCUGGUUCUCCCCGAAAGCUAUUUAGGUAGCGCCUCGUGAAUUCAUCUCCGGGGGUAGAGCACUGUUUCGGCAAGGGGGUCAUCCCGACUUACCAACCCGAUGCAAACUGCGAAUACCGGAGAAUGUUAUCACGGGAGACACACGGCGGGUGCUAACGUCCGUCGUGAAGAGGGAAACAACCCAGACCGCCAGCUAAGGUCCCAAAGUCAUGGUUAAGUGGGAAACGAUGUGGGAAGGCCCAGACAGCCAGGAUGUUGGCUUAGAAGCAGCCAUCAUUUAAAGAAAGCGUAAUAGCUCACUGGUCGAGUCGGCCUGCGCGGAAGAUGUAACGGGGCUAAACCAUGCACCGAAGCUGCGGCAGCGACGCUUAUGCGUUGUUGGGUAGGGGAGCGUUCUGUAAGCCUGUGAAGGUGUGCUGUGAGGCAUGCUGGAGGUAUCAGAAGUGCGAAUGCUGACAUAAGUAACGAUAAAGCGGGUGAAAAGCCCGCUCGCCGGAAGACCAAGGGUUCCUGUCCAACGUUAAUCGGGGCAGGGUGAGUCGACCCCUAAGGCGAGGCCGAAAGGCGUAGUCGAUGGGAAACAGGUUAAUAUUCCUGUACUUGGUGUUACUGCGAAGGGGGGACGGAGAAGGCUAUGUUGGCCGGGCGACGGUUGUCCCGGUUUAAGCGUGUAGGCUGGUUUUCCAGGCAAAUCCGGAAAAUCAAGGCUGAGGCGUGAUGACGAGGCACUACGGUGCUGAAGCAACAAAUGCCCUGCUUCCAGGAAAAGCCUCUAAGCAUCAGGUAACAUCAAAUCGUACCCCAAACCGACACAGGUGGUCAGGUAGAGAAUACCAAGGCGCUUGAGAGAACUCGGGUGAAGGAACUAGGCAAAAUGGUGCCGUAACUUCGGGAGAAGGCACGCUGAUAUGUAGGUGAAGUCCCUCGCGGAUGGAGCUGAAAUCAGUCGAAGAUACCAGCUGGCUGCAACUGUUUAUUAAAAACACAGCACUGUGCAAACACGAAAGUGGACGUAUACGGUGUGACGCCUGCCCGGUGCCGGAAGGUUAAUUGAUGGGGUUAGCCGCAAGGCGAAGCUCUUGAUCGAAGCCCCGGUAAACGGCGGCCGUAACUAUAACGGUCCUAAGGUAGCGAAAUUCCUUGUCGGGUAAGUUCCGACCUGCACGAAUGGCGUAAUGAUGGCCAGGCUGUCUCCACCCGAGACUCAGUGAAAUUGAACUCGCUGUGAAGAUGCAGUGUACCCGCGGCAAGACGGAAAGACCCCGUGAACCUUUACUAUAGCUUGACACUGAACAUUGAGCCUUGAUGUGUAGGAUAGGUGGGAGGCUUUGAAGUGUGGACGCCAGUCUGCAUGGAGCCGACCUUGAAAUACCACCCUUUAAUGUUUGAUGUUCUAACGUUGACCCGUAAUCCGGGUUGCGGACAGUGUCUGGUGGGUAGUUUGACUGGGGCGGUCUCCUCCUAAAGAGUAACGGAGGAGCACGAAGGUUGGCUAAUCCUGGUCGGACAUCAGGAGGUUAGUGCAAUGGCAUAAGCCAGCUUGACUGCGAGCGUGACGGCGCGAGCAGGUGCGAAAGCAGGUCAUAGUGAUCCGGUGGUUCUGAAUGGAAGGGCCAUCGCUCAACGGAUAAAAGGUACUCCGGGGAUAACAGGCUGAUACCGCCCAAGAGUUCAUAUCGACGGCGGUGUUUGGCACCUCGAUGUCGGCUCAUCACAUCCUGGGGCUGAAGUAGGUCCCAAGGGUAUGGCUGUUCGCCAUUUAAAGUGGUACGCGAGCUGGGUUUAGAACGUCGUGAGACAGUUCGGUCCCUAUCUGCCGUGGGCGCUGGAGAACUGAGGGGGGCUGCUCCUAGUACGAGAGGACCGGAGUGGACGCAUCACUGGUGUUCGGGUUGUCAUGCCAAUGGCACUGCCCGGUAGCUAAAUGCGGAAGAGAUAAGUGCUGAAAGCAUCUAAGCACGAAACUUGCCCCGAGAUGAGUUCUCCCUGACUCCUUGAGAGUCCUGAAGGAACGUUGAAGACGACGACGUUGAUAGGCCGGGUGUGUAAGCGCAGCGAUGCGUUGAGCUAACCGGUACUAAUGAACCGUGAGGCUUAACCUUACAACGCCGAAG
This 2927-nucleotide ribosomal RNA is filed under the name Escherichia coli. RNAcentral describes it as "bacterial LSU rRNA". It matches the Rfam family "Bacterial large subunit ribosomal RNA". The record is from RNAcentral. Lineage: Bacteria; Pseudomonadati; Pseudomonadota; Gammaproteobacteria; Enterobacterales; Enterobacteriaceae.